CAUGGAACCUGCAGGAACUAACCAUGUGGACAAAUGAAAAAUGCCUUUUGUCUACAACUUGCAGUGAUCCUACAUUGACAUGGAGGUCUCUGUCUGGCUUAGGACAGCAGACUAACUCUGAUCACUCUCCUCCAUACAGC
Non-coding RNA from Pteronotus mesoamericanus, 140 nucleotides. RefSeq annotates it as small Cajal body-specific RNA 3. The record is from RefSeq and is a predicted model, not a curated record. NCBI's taxonomy places the organism in Eukaryota, Metazoa, Chordata, Mammalia, Chiroptera, Mormoopidae. The transcript has a single exon.